AAACCACUUUUUUUCAGUAUUAGCUGAACCAGAGAACACCAAAUUCUUUUAUUUGGGGUUAAACUUAUGUUUUGUUUCAUUUGGGGUGAGAUACUGAUUUCCUAUUUUUCUCUUUAAAAUAGCAUAACAUCAGCAUUGACACAGAGAUGUCGUUUCAACUGAAAAAGCAAAACAACAAAGACCAAAAUUCUCUUCUGGCAUAGAAUCUGUUGCUGUCGGCUGUGACAUGCAGCCCAAUGUGGGAUCUUGCCAGCUGUGCUAGAUGCCCCUUGGGAUGAGUUUCAUCCAUUUGACCAGAGAGCAGAAACAUCCCAGGUGAUGGGGCUUGACAGAGGCUUAAAGUGACCUCCUGCCUCCGAGGCUUCUCGGUGCCAUGCAGACGUAUGCAGCGUACACUGUGCAAUGUAAGUCAACCCUGUUCCAGCCACAGUCUUGGCUUCUGUCUCAUUUGUCCUUUCCUCUAUCUCUUAUAGAGGACAGGGGGGACAUGUAUGUUGAAUUAUG
This 504-nucleotide long non-coding RNA is filed under the name Gallus gallus (chicken). RNAcentral describes it as "lncRNA (ENSGALG00010007266.1)". Lineage: Eukaryota; Metazoa; Chordata; Aves; Galliformes; Phasianidae. The record is from RNAcentral.